This is a long non-coding RNA of Lolium rigidum, 1286 nucleotides long. RefSeq lists it as uncharacterized. The record is from RefSeq and is a predicted model, not a curated record. NCBI's taxonomy places the organism in Eukaryota, Viridiplantae, Streptophyta, Magnoliopsida, Poales, Poaceae. The transcript is spliced from 3 exons.
AAUACCUGAGACUCAGAUGUUUGAUUUCGCAGCUACAUAUGUUCCGUUGUUCACUUUUCCACGCGUUUGCCCUAAUGGCUUCUAGUAAACCCAAAUUUAUGGCACUUAUUUGGAGACAUAUGGACGAUUUAAUAUAGCACCUGACAAUAGUUACUAGAUGUUAGGGAACAAUCAUAGCACUAGUUACAUCACCUGGGUGCAGAUGUGCAGUGUAGAAGAUAAAUAAUAUAUGCUUUGUAUCAGCAUAAGAAAUGAUAUUUUUCAACCUGUUGAAUCUGCACUUGCAUAAAAGCAAUUAUAUAAGAAAAGCUGAUGUAUCAUCUUACCAUCAUAUAACUAUUCUUUUACUCAUUUUUUCGUAGAAUAGUCAGAUAAAAGGGAAAGGAACACAGAAUGCUAGCUGAGUAUUUUAUCCAACAUAUGAUAAAUCUUAACACUUUUGAUUCCACAGUCGUAGUUCAGUAUUUCGCUAGGUGAAGGAUAGGAUAUUACAAACGGAUUUAUUUUAUCUCUAAUGCUUACUAGCAAUAUUCUUCUCAGAGAAAAAAAUGAAAAUAAGAAAGUGAUGGUAUGCCCUUAAGAAUAGCUUGCCAAGUAUGAGAGUCGUUCCAUUUUUUCAUCGCAGCCAUAUAAGAUUGUGUUUACCACAAAGAGAACGAGCACAUAAGGGCUCAGUUUUGGCGUUCCUAACUUGGGCAAACUCGCGAAGAUUAGCCUGUGUUGCCUAAUUCUACAGAAGAACGGGUGCCUGGUUCCACCACCCAAAGCUGAUAAGAGAAUGGCCGCGUGCAAGUUCAUUCUUCUGUCAUUGGGGCUACUUGCUGGAUAUAUGGCGUCCAAGGAUCAUAGCAAGCUUGCUUUUAUGCUCAAGGUCUGUGACAGUAGCAUGAAGAUCUACAAGGUCUUUGCUGAGAUCGUCGACAUCUUAUAUGCACUCUUCAAGUAGUUGCUACUGCUUUAUCUGAUGUGAGAGGACCUUAUUUGGACAACCUAUGCGAGACGGGCAGUUUUGUUAGCUUCUCUAGGUCAUUUCUAUUGACAUCACAGUCGGCUGAUUUGUAUCAUAUGGAUCGAAGAUUGACAUUCCGGCCACAUCUGCAACUCGUUGCUGCUUUGUAUUAGGUCCUUAUUUGGACAACGUAUGUGAGACGGACAGUUUUGUUAGCUUCUCUAGGUCAUUUCUAUUGACAUCAGUCGGAUGAUUUGUAUCAUAUGGAUCGAAGAUUGACAUUCCGGCCACAUCUGCUACAGUUGCUGCUUUGUUAUUAGGACGUGGAGUGCAAGUA